CGGUCUGUCGCGUCGGAUGUGAAAGCCCGGGGCUUAACCCCGGGUCUGCAUUCGAUACGGGCAGACUAGAGUGUGGUAGGGGAGAUCGGAAUUCCUGGUGUAGCGGUGAAAUGCGCAGAUAUCAGGAGGAACACCGGUGGCGAAGGCGGAUCUCUGGGCCAUUACUGACGCUGAGGAGCGAAAGCGUGGGGAGCGAACAGGAUUAGAUACCCUGGUAGUCCACGCCGUAAACGGUGGGAACUAGGUGUUGGCGACAUUCCACGUCGUCGGUGCCGCAGCUAACGCAUUAAGUUCCCCGCCUGGGGAGUACGGCCGCAAGGCUAAAACUCAAAGGAAUUGACGGGGGCCCGCACAAGCAGCGGAGCAUGUGGCUUAAUUCGACGCAACGCGAAGAAUCUUACCAAGGCUUGACAUACACCGGUAAACGGCCAUAGAUGGUCGCCCCCUUGUGGUCG
This 455-nucleotide ribosomal RNA is filed under the name Streptomyces scabiei. RNAcentral's name for it is "bacterial SSU rRNA". It matches the Rfam family "Bacterial small subunit ribosomal RNA", at positions 576 to 1028 of the family's 1533-position model. The record is from RNAcentral. Lineage: Bacteria; Bacillati; Actinomycetota; Actinomycetes; Kitasatosporales; Streptomycetaceae.